Molecule: ribosomal RNA, 177 nt
Filed under: Rothia sp. (in: high G+C Gram-positive bacteria)
Lineage: Bacteria; Bacillati; Actinomycetota; Actinomycetes; Micrococcales; Micrococcaceae
Description: Rothia sp. (human oral metagenome) partial 16S ribosomal RNA
Rfam family: Bacterial small subunit ribosomal RNA
Source: RNAcentral
GCGGUGAAUACGUUCCCGGGUCUUGUACACACCGCCCGUCACACCAUGGGAGUUGGUAAUGCCCGAAGUCAGUGUUCCAAAAAAGGAAGCUGCCGAAGGCAGGACUGAUGACUGGGGUGAAGUCGUAACAAGGUAGCCGUAUCGGAAGGUGCGGCUGGAUCACCUCCUUUCUAAGGA